RNAcentral lists this ribosomal RNA (465 nucleotides) under uncultured bacterium. RNAcentral describes it as "bacterial SSU rRNA". It matches the Rfam family "Bacterial small subunit ribosomal RNA", at positions 338 to 795 of the family's 1533-position model. The record is from RNAcentral.
CCUACGGGUGGCAGCAGUGGGGAAUUUUGGACAAUGGGGGCAACCCUGAUCCAGCAAUGCCGCGUGUGUGAAGAAGGCCUUCGGGUUGUAAAGCACUUUUGUCAGGAACGAAACGGUGGGGGCUAAUACCUCCUGCUAAUGACGGUACCUGAAGAAUAAGCACCGGCUAACUACGUGCCAGCAGCCGCGGUAAUACGUAGGGUGCGAGCGUUAAUCGGAAUUACUGGGCGUAAAGCGUGCGCAGGCGGUUGUGCAAGACAGAUGUGAAAUCCCCGGGCUUAACCUGGGAAUGGCAUUUGUGACUGCACGGCUAGAGUGUGUCAGAGGGGGGUAGAAUUCCACGUGUAGCAGUGAAAUGCGUAGAUAUGUGGAGGAAUACCGAUGGCGAAGGCAGCCCCCUGGGAUAACACUGACGCUCAGGCACGAAAGCGUGGGGAGCAAACAGGAUUAGAUACCCUAGUAGUC